AUUGAUGAGUGAAGAAAGGAAGAACUGAGGUGGGAACUCAGGAGACAUGCUGCUGCCUCCUGGAGAACAUCUAUUGCAUUGAAUCUUUGUCUUAGUAUUGAAUGAAGACCAAGGAAUAUCUCAAGAGUGAAGGAAGGGAUGCAAUACCUUGUGCAGAGGGAAGAGCAUGUUUGAAAACAAUAAGGUGAUGCUGCGGCAUGUCAGGAAGAGUUUCCUGAGGAAGGAUAUUUAAUCUGAGACCUGAAGGAUUGGUUUCUCCAGAUAUAGACACUGAGACGGAGGUCUGUGUAGAAGAUGCACACCAGGAAUCAAAACCUGUAAAAGGAAGUAGAAAGAAGCAGAAUUGGACAAAGUGAGAAAUCAAACUGUAAUUCAGACUUGCCGAAGUCUUGACCAACUCUACUGGGGAGCUCUGA
Microcebus murinus (gray mouse lemur) is the source of this 416-nucleotide non-coding RNA. Lineage: Eukaryota; Metazoa; Chordata; Mammalia; Primates; Cheirogaleidae. The record is from RefSeq and is a predicted model, not a curated record.